This 497-nucleotide ribosomal RNA is filed under the name uncultured bacterium. RNAcentral's name for it is "partial 16S ribosomal RNA". It matches the Rfam family "Bacterial small subunit ribosomal RNA", at positions 28 to 507 of the family's 1533-position model. The record is from RNAcentral.
GAUGAACGCUGGCGGCGUGCCUAAUACAUGCAAGUCGAGCGAACGGACGAGAAGCUUGCUUCUCUGAUGUUAGCGGCGGACGGGUGAGUAACACGUGGAUAACCUACCUAUAAGACUGGGAUAACUUCGGGAAACCGGAGCUAAUACCGGAUAAUAUUUUGAACCGCAUGGUUCAAAAGUGAAAGACGGUCUUGCUGUCACUUAUAGAUGGAUCCGCGCUGCAUUAGCUAGUUGGUAAGGUAACGGCUUACCAAGGCAACGAUGCAUAGCCGACCUGAGAGGGUGAUCGGCCACACUGUAACUGAACCACGGUCCAGACUCCUACGGGAGGCAGCAGUAGGGAAUCUUCCGCAAUGGGCGAAAGCCUGACGGAGCAACGCCGCGUGAGUGAUGAAGGUCUUCGGAUCGUAAAACUCUGUUAUUAGGGAAGAACAUAUGUGUAAGUAACUGUGCACAUCUUGACGGUACCUAAUCAGAAAGCCACGGCUAACUACGUG